Molecule: ribosomal RNA, 253 nt
Filed under: uncultured bacterium
Lineage: Bacteria
Description: partial 16S ribosomal RNA
Rfam family: Bacterial small subunit ribosomal RNA
Source: RNAcentral
UACGUAGGUAGCGAGCGUUAUUCGGAUUUAUUGGGCGUAAAGGGUCCGCAGGGGGUUCUUCAAGUCUGAUGUGAAAUCCCGGGGCUCAACCCCGGAACUGCAUUGGAAACUAAAGAACUAGAGUAUCGGAGAGGUAAGUGGAAUUUCAGGUGUAGCGGUGGAAUGCGUAGAUAUCUGAAAGAACACCAAGAGCGAAGGCAGCUUACUGGACGAUUACUGACCCUCAGGGACGAAAGCAUAGGGAGCGAACAGG